GCUUGCUGCUUCGCUGACGAGUGGCGGACGGGUGAGUAAUGUCUGGGAAACUGCCUGAUGGAGGGGGAUAACUACUGGAAACGGUAGCUAAUACCGCAUAACGUCGCAAGACCAAAGAGGGGGACCUUCGGGCCUCUUGCCAUCGGAUGUGCCCAGAUGGGAUUAGCUUGUUGGUGGGGUAACGGCUCACCAAGGCGACGAUCCCUAGCUGGUCUGAGAGGAUGACCAGCCACACUGGAACUGAGACACGGUCCAGACUCCUACGGGAGGCAGCAGUGGGGAAUAUUGCACAAUGGGCGCAAGCCUGAUGCAGCCAUGCCGCGUGUAUGAAGAAGGCCUUCGGGUUGUAAAGUACUUUCAGCGGGGAGGAAGGGAGUAAAGUUAAUACCUUUGCUCAUUGACGUUACCCGCAGAAGAAGCACCGGCUAACUCCGUGCCAGCAGCCGCGGUAAUACGGAGGGUGCAAGCGUUAAUCGGAAUUACUGGGCGUAAAGCGCACGCAGGCGGUUUGUUAAGUCAGAUGUGAAAUCCCCGGGCUCAACCUGGGAACUGCAUCUGAUACUGGCAAGCUUGAGUCUCGUAGAGGGGGGUAGAAUUCCAGGUGUAGCGGUGAAAUGCGUAGAGAUCUGGAGGAAUACCGGUGGCGAAGGCGGCCCCCUGGACGAAGACUGACGCUCAGGUGCGAAAGCGUGGGGAGCAAACAGGAUUAGAUACCCUGGUAGUCCACGCCGUAAACGAUGUCGACUUGGAGGUUGUGCCCUUGAGGCGUGGCUUCCGGAGCUAACGCGUUAAGUCGACCGCCUGGGGAGUACGGCCGCAAGGUUAAAACUCAAAUGAAUUGACGGGGGCCCGCACAAGCGGUGGAGCAUGUGGUUUAAUUCGAUGCAACGCGAAGAACCUUACCUGGUCUUGACAUCCACGGAAGUUUUCAGAGAUGAGAAUGUGCCUUCGGGAACCGUGAGACAGGUGCUGCAUGGCUGUCGUCAGCUCGUGUUGUGAAAUGUUGGGGUUAAGUCCCGCAACGAGCGCAACCCUUAUCCUUUGUUGCCAGCGGUCCGGCCGGGAACUCAAAGGAGACUGCCAGUGAUAAACU
This 1093-nucleotide ribosomal RNA is filed under the name Escherichia sp. ESBL3B1_13_1E. RNAcentral describes it as "bacterial SSU rRNA". It matches the Rfam family "Bacterial small subunit ribosomal RNA", at positions 78 to 1164 of the family's 1533-position model. Lineage: Bacteria; Pseudomonadati; Pseudomonadota; Gammaproteobacteria; Enterobacterales; Enterobacteriaceae. The record is from RNAcentral.